This 1346-nucleotide long non-coding RNA is filed under the name Anser brachyrhynchus (Pink-footed goose). RNAcentral describes it as "lncRNA (ENSABRG00000013188.1)". The record is from RNAcentral. Lineage: Eukaryota; Metazoa; Chordata; Aves; Anseriformes; Anatidae.
CUGGAAGUAUUUUCCCUGAAAAUUUCUGUCUUUUUGUCAAGAAGGCAGAAACCUAUAAUUGUUCUUAGUUUCAGCAAAAACUUGAAAAAUUGUCAAGCAGAAUGAGAAAACCCCACUUCUUAAAAAUACAGAUCUUUAUUGCUAACCCAUCCAAGUGGGAAAAAAGUCAGUGUGCUGCAAAGACUACACUGAGAGUUUGCAGCUUACCAACAGCAAGCAACUGGCAGCUCUUUGGUUGGUGUCAAGGCAAAGGUUGAUUUGGAAGGGAUUGGAAGGAGCAUAAUGAACCGAAGGGAGGAUGAUGCAUGGCUUUCAGCAGAGACCGUACAUACUCCCAGCAAACUCGAGCCACGUUCCCCUGGAGCUCUGUGGGCUGUAUGACAAAGCAAAGCUGCUUUUAAGAAGCGUGUGGGCUGCCCCCACGUAUUUCCCUGCUGUCAGCUUGUGCAGUGAUGCCCGUUCCCGGCCCCGUGAGCUGGGGGAGCCGAGGGGCAGAGGCAUGGCACCAGCUCCAGGUUGGGAACAUCCACAGGGAAGUACCCGAAGCCUCGUUCCUUCGAAUGUCAAAAGGCAGCAGCCCAAAUCUGGUUAAGCAUGGAGAGCCUGACGGAUACGUUGUCUGCAGGAAAGGAGGGCUGUAUCCAAACCUCUCUCAGAGCACCCACGAGCAUCCACCAUCGCAGCAGACUCCACGCUAAACCACUGCACUUCAUCGUUUCCCACAUGUGCUCCAUCGGAUCUUAUCAGGGAGAGCACCCGUGACUCCUGCCUGCGUGUAGGUUGGAAGAGAAGAAAUCGGCGAGGAUUCACCCCUGGUUUCACCAUCCAGCUCCUGCUGGGUGCUUUGUAGGUGCUGCAUUUCUGGUGGUAGGGAUGAACAACCCUAAGGUCAAUUUGUAAUCAUGGUUCUCUAGACCCUGGUCUUUAAUCAAAAUAGUGACAUAUUGGGUUUAUUUGUAUUAAAAACUCCCAUGGAGAUCAGGAUGUUUUACACUGUGGAGCCUGACAGAAGGGAACUUUGCACGGGGACGCAGGACGAAUGAGAUCUCACUGCAAGAAUUGGUUAUGGUGCUGGAAGGAGGCUGGAAGAGACCUCGGGAGGUUUCGUCCCACCCUGUACAUGUAGUGCAUCUCCGGCGAUGAACACUCCGUAGCUUUUCAAGCUACUCUAGUGUUUUGUUUGGAUUGCCAUUUAAAAGUAUUCUUCCCAAUGCAUAAUCUUAAUUUCCUUUCCUGUGCUUGAAGCCCGUUCAUUGAACAAAUCUCAGCUGAAAUACAUUUCACUUAAAAAUUAAAUCAAAUGUUUCAACAAGAAGAACGUUUUCUUGGCUAAUUUGCAAUCGGAG